UCCUUUCUUUCCCGCGCGUCCGGAGCAGCCCGGCCCGACGGCCGCGAGAACACGAGAGAGCUUGCAGAGAGGCCGGGCGCUGGCCUGUGUGGGCCGCCCGGCGGCGGCGGCGGCGGCGGCGGCGGCGGCGACUCCCCCGCCCGGCCGGACAGUGCAGGGCCAUGGCCGAGGCGGCCCGGCUCCGUUGCAGGCAUGGCACGUGGGGACUGACCUCCAACGAGAGGCCCAGAUCCAGUGUGCAGAGAUUUCCCUUCUGGCCAUCUUGGCUGCCAUUCAGGCUGUGGGGAAGGUGGAACGCCGGGCCCAUCCGACUUCAGAGCCUGGAGAGGUGAACAGAGACAGCCGAGAAGAAGCUGGCUGACUGUGAGAAGAUGGCUGUGGAGAUAAAGAGUCCGCUGGAGGGCAAGUUGGGACCCUGCUGCAGGAGCACGGGAUGCUGCAGAGGUGGCUGGAGAACAUGGAGGGUCUGCGAGGAACAGGCAGCAAGGGGAGCCCCGCAAGGUGAGUGCCUCACCUGGGCCAGACCCGGGUACCAGAUGCUGGAGCAAGCACAGAGAUGACCUGAAGCCUGCCCUUGAGAAUGUCAAGCACACAUGCCGUCAAGGGCCCACGCCAGGCACGCACGGAGCCCAGGACAGCCUGGAGGAGGGAGACCCUCAAAGCAUCUCACAGCCGCGAUGUGUGGCCAAGGGUCCUGGGGGCUGUAACUUGGCGUGAUGAUCCCUCGUCUCCACAGUGUAAGUGUUUGCUGUAAAAAUAACUUCUGUAAUCCAGGCAGCUUCUGCCAGGGCCUUUCUGGACAUCUGUGCUGCUACUUCCUUCUGCCUUCCAGGGAUUCUUGGUGGGUGUCAGCUCUCUAGACUUCACUGGGACUCGCCAUAUAACCUGCUAUGAACAUCUGCCUGGUAAUGUAGAGGUUAUAGAGAAUAGAGAUGCAUGUACACCCUAAAAGGAAGAAGUAAACUUAAACCCUGUGCCCUGUCAAAGGUGUAAGCAUGGAAUGUGUCAAUGGAUAAAUUAAACCCACAGAGUUUGGAUUGAGACUGGGAAACAUUGACGCAAGG
Non-coding RNA from Delphinapterus leucas (beluga whale), 1064 nucleotides. The record is from RefSeq and is a predicted model, not a curated record. Lineage: Eukaryota; Metazoa; Chordata; Mammalia; Artiodactyla; Monodontidae.